Molecule: ribosomal RNA, 2125 nt
Filed under: Salmonella enterica subsp. enterica serovar Bareilly
Lineage: Bacteria; Pseudomonadati; Pseudomonadota; Gammaproteobacteria; Enterobacterales; Enterobacteriaceae
Description: partial 23S ribosomal RNA
Rfam family: Bacterial large subunit ribosomal RNA
Source: RNAcentral
GUUAAGCGACUAAGCGUACACGGUGGAUGCCCUGGCAGUCAGAGGCGAUGAAGGGCGUGCUAAUCUGCGAUAAGCGCCGGUAAGGUGAUAUGAACCGUUAUAACCGGCGAUACCCGAAUGGGGAAACCCAGUGUGAUUCGUCACACUAUCAUUAACUGAAUCCAUAGGUUAAUGAGGCGAACCGGGGGAACUGAAACAUCUAAGUACCCCGAGGAAAAGAAAUCAACCGAGAUUCCCCCAGUAGCGGCGAGCGAACGGGGAGGAGCCCAGAGCCUGAAUCAGCAUGUGUGUUAGUGGAAGCGUCUGGAAAGGCGCGCGAUACAGGGUGACAGCCCCGUACACAAAAGCGCAUGUGCUGUGAGCUCGAUGAGUAGGGCGGGACACGUGGUAUCCUGUCUGAAUAUGGGGGGACCAUCCUCCAAGGCUAAAUACUCCUGACUGACCGAUAGUGAACCAGUACCGUGAGGGAAAGGCGAAAAGAACCCCGGCGAGGGGAGUGAAAAAGAACCUGAAACCGUGUACGUACAAGCAGUGGGAGCACAGGUUUACCUGUGUGACUGCGUACCUUUUGUAUAAUGGGUCAGCGACUUAUAUUCUGUAGCAAGGUUAACCGUAUAGGGGAGCCGGAGGGAAACCGAGUCUUAACCGGGCGUUAAGUUGCAGGGUAUAGACCCGAAACCCGGUGAUCUAGCCAUGGGCAGGUUGAAGGUUGGGUAACACUAACUGGAGGACCGAACCGACUAAUGUUGAAAAAUUAGCGGAUGACCUGUGGCUGGGGGUGAAAGGCCAAUCAAACCGGGAGAUAGCUGGUUCUCCCCGAAAGCUAUUUAGGUAGCGCCUCGUGAAUUCAUCUCCGGGGGUAGAGCACUGUUUCGGCUAGGGGGCCAUCCCGGCUUACCAACCCGAUGCAAACUGCGAAUACCGGAGAAUGUUAUCACGGGAGACACACGGCGGGUGCUAACGUCCGUCGUGAAGAGGGAAACAACCCAGACCGCCAGCUAAGGUCCCAAAGUCAUGGUUAAGUGGGAAACGAUGUGGGAAGGCCCAGACAGCCAGGAUGUUGGCUUAGAAGCAGCCAUCAUUUAAAGAAAGCGUAAUAGCUCACUGGUCGAGUCGGCCUGCGCGGAAGAUGUAACGGGGCUAAACCAUGCACCGAAGCUGCGGCAGCGACGUUUAUGCGUUGUUGGGUAGGGGAGCGUUCUGUAAGCCUGCGAAGGUGGCCUGUGAGGGUUGCUGGAGGUAUCAGAAGUGCGAAUGCUGACAUAAGUAACGAUAAAGCGGGUGAAAAGCCCGCUCGCCGGAAGACCAAGGGUUCCUGUCCAACGUUAAUCGGGGCAGGGUGAGUCGACCCCUAAGGCGAGGCCGAAAGGCGUAGUCGAUGGGAAACGGGUUAAUAUUCCCGUACUUGGUGUUACUGCGAAGGGGGGACGGAGAAGGCUAUGUUGGCCGGGCGACGGUUGUCCCGGUUUAAGCGUGUAGGCUGGUUUUCCAGGCAAAUCCGGAAAAUCAAGGCUGAGGCGUGACGACGAGGCACUACGGUGCUGAAGCAACAAAUGCCCUGCUUCCAGGAAAAGCCUCUAAGCAUCAGGUAACAUCAAAUCGUACCCCAAACCGACACAGGUGGUCAGGUAGAGAAUACCAAGGCGCUUGAGAGAACUCGGGUGAAGGAACUAGGCAAAAUGGUGCCGUAACUUCGGGAGAAGGCACGCUGACACGUAGGUGAAGUGAUUUACUCAUGGAGCUGAAGUCAGUCGAAGAUACCAGCUGGCUGCAACUGUUUAUUAAAAACACAGCACUGUGCAAACACGAAAGUGGACGUAUACGGUGUGACGCCUGCCCGGUGCCGGAAGGUUAAUUGAUGGGGUCAGCGCAAGCGAAGCUCCUGAUCGAAGCCCCGGUAAACGGCGGCCGUAACUAUAACGGUCCUAAGGUAGCGAAAUUCCUUGUCGGGUAAGUUCCGACCUGCACGAAUGGCGUAAUGAUGGCCAGGCUGUCUCCACCCGAGACUCAGUGAAAUUGAACUCGCUGUGAAGAUGCAGUGUACCCGCGGCAAGACGGAAAGACCCCGUGAACCUUUACUAUAGCUUGACACUGAACAUUGAGCCUUGAUGUGUAGGAUAGGUGG